This is a long non-coding RNA of Pipistrellus kuhlii (Kuhl's pipistrelle), 921 nucleotides long. RefSeq lists it as uncharacterized. The transcript is spliced from 2 exons. Lineage: Eukaryota; Metazoa; Chordata; Mammalia; Chiroptera; Vespertilionidae. The record is from RefSeq and is a predicted model, not a curated record.
CUGGGAAUUGAACCAGCAACCUUUUGGUGGCAAUGAUGGUAUCCAACCAACUGAGCUACACUAGGCAUAGUGAUUUUUGUGUUUUUAAAAUUUCAUAAAUGAGUCUUUUUACCCUUUCAGUACAAGAAGAAGGUUGCUUCUGAGUCUCUGUUGAAUCCUCAGGGCAGCAGCCCAUACCUUUUUUAUUGGUAGACUGAAUGAGGGGCACUCACAAUGCGUGUCAGCUCAGCAGGUUCCCUUACCCAAUGAUUGGCAGUUGAAUCAGGUCAUCCUGCAUAUAGGAACUUUGGCUUAUGUAUGAAUUGGUUUAUGUGUUGGUGGCAAACAGUUGGGAACCAAUAAACCCUUAUUUUUGGAAAGCAUGCCUUUUUUUAACUGUCCAUGUGGGUUUCAUUAUGUGAAAAUAAUCAUUAGUUUUAUUUAUAUGAUGGUUUAGCAUUUGUCUUCUAUAUAAUUAUUUUAUAUAUCAUUAAGCUAUAUCAAAUUAAUGCUAUUAUCAGUUUUAUUUAAUGUUAAUAUGAAAGGGGGGUAAUUCUCAGGUGGGGAAGAUCCAUCCACUCAGUUAGUGGCCCUAGUUCUUCUUUCAGGCUCUGCUCAUGAAGGGAUUCUCGGCUUAUUUGGAGCCAUUUGCUUUUCAGCAUGCCUAACUUUAACUGACUGGUUCCAUAGACCUUGUAACCUGUUAUUCAGAGUACAUUGGAGAAGUCAUCAGAUGAAAGGUGAAAGAUUAAUGUCAAAGCAAUAGGAGAAAAUGAAAAAACAGUCAAGUGUUUUAUUUAUGAGAACAUCACAUAGUGGCAACAAUUAUCAGAAACUUAAUUUUCAUUAAUAAGUCUUAUUAUUACAGUCUUGAAAUUAGUACUGUAGGACUAAUCUUGAUGAACACCAGUAAUAAAAUCUAGCCUGCUGGGAAAUUAGAGU